This 1089-nucleotide long non-coding RNA is filed under the name Anas platyrhynchos platyrhynchos (common mallard). RNAcentral's name for it is "lncRNA (ENSAPLG00000029227.1)". Lineage: Eukaryota; Metazoa; Chordata; Aves; Anseriformes; Anatidae. The record is from RNAcentral.
AUGCAAGAUCAUGGAUGUUUGCCAGAACGCACUCUUUAUCCUAGAAGCUCAGCAUGUAUAGUCAUGGAGUGGGUUUUCCUUCCUCUCCCCCCCCACCCCUUUUUUUUUUUUUUUUUUUUUAUUUCCUUCUCUUUAUGUGCUUACAUCCGCAGAAAGGCCUCAGCAUCUUGCAGACAUCCCAGGUGUCAGUUUCUUCAGAACAAUCGGCUUGUGAUAAUCCCUGAGUUAACUUUCCCUGAUAUGGUUUGGAGUCAGAAUGGGACUUAAGGCCACUUCAGAAAUUUCCACAGAAAGACAAGCUUCUUGGCAGCCAGAAGAGGGAGCUAAGGAUCUGGCCUAGAUUCUCCAAAACCUCAGAAGAGGAGUUGCUCAGAAGAUGAAGUUACAUGGUAAGAUUGCUCACGUAAUGGCUGAAAAUCACUGAGAAGCUUGAAAUGCUUUCAAAGUUGGUUUAAUUCACACGGAUGGAUUUCCAGCACAGGUAUUAACAUCACCAUAGCUGGAAGCAAUACUACAUUGCUAUUGACUUUUCUCUAUCUAAACAAAGCAGUAUGAGAGAGUUUGGUAGGCACAGCAGUUGAUGCCUUAUUGUCAGAAGUCUGAUUGUUGGUGCUGGUCCUCAGCCAUAAGCUAUAUGACAAGAAAAGAUCUGCUGGCAAGAAAAACUAAAAUCCUAAAGUUUGUUUUUUUUUUUUUUUUUUGAAGUGGGGGUAGACACUUCACAUAUAUGACUCUUCCAUAUACAGGAAAUCAGAUUACUUUCAAAGGCCUGUUUGAAUGUUCCAUCUGUUAGAAAGAAGCUACCAAGACAGGAAAAAAAAAGUCAGAAACAAAAACGUUAUAACCUUAUUUUUCAAAUACUUAUAAACAUUGAUUUUUGACCUGUACUUAAAAACAAUGUAAAAAAAAAAAAAAAAGUGUUUUAGGAAAUAUGUUAGAUACUAAUAGGCAUUGCUGUUUUAAUUACAUGUGUCUGUGUAGGCUAUACAUGAUGACAUACAUAUCCAAAUGUCUAGACUAAGACAUUUAAGACAUUUUAGUUGUGCAACUCAUAUUGAAUUUCUCCUCCUGUCUCCAAAAAAAAAAAAA